UGCCGCGUGAGUGAAGAAGGCCUUCGGGUUGUAAAGCUCUUUCGGCCGGGAGGAAAUCGCAUCAGUUAAUACCUGGUGUGGAUGACAGUACCGGAAUAAGAAGCACCGGCUAACUACGUGCCAGCAGCCGCGGUAAUACGUAGGGUGCGAGCGUUAAUCGGAAUUACUGGGCGUAAAGCGUGCGCAGGCGGUUUUUUAAGACAGGCGUGAAAUCCCCGGGCUCAACCUGGGAACUGCGCUUGUGACUGGAAGGCUAGAGUAUGGCAGAGGGGGGUGGAAUUCCACGUGUAGCAGUGAAAUGCGUAGAGAUGUGGAGGAACACCGAUGGCGAAGGCAGCCCCCUGGGCCAAUACUGACGCUCAUGCACGAAAGCGUGGGGAGCAAACAGGAUUAGAUACCCUGGUAGUCCACGCCCUAAACGAUGUCAACUAGGUGUUGGGUGGGUAAAACCAUUUAGUACCGGAGCUA
RNAcentral lists this ribosomal RNA (468 nucleotides) under Azonexaceae bacterium. RNAcentral describes it as "bacterial SSU rRNA". It matches the Rfam family "Bacterial small subunit ribosomal RNA", at positions 395 to 854 of the family's 1533-position model. The record is from RNAcentral. Lineage: Bacteria; Pseudomonadati; Pseudomonadota; Betaproteobacteria; Rhodocyclales; Azonexaceae.